RNAcentral lists this non-coding RNA (99 nucleotides) under Oceanibaculum indicum. Its description in RNAcentral is "Glycine sequence". It matches the Rfam family "Glycine riboswitch aptamer". From Rfam's summary of the family: This family represents the bacterial glycine riboswitch. Glycine riboswitches usually consist of two metabolite-binding aptamers domains with similar structures in tandem. The record is from RNAcentral. RNAcentral also lists the same sequence under 1 other name. Lineage: Bacteria; Pseudomonadati; Pseudomonadota; Alphaproteobacteria; Rhodospirillales; Oceanibaculaceae.
CUGAACCCUGCGGGAGAGAUCGGCAGCGCGUUUGCGUAGCCGGCGCCGAAGGAGCAAUCCACCCCGGAAACUCUCAGGCAGAAGGACCGCAGGGGAAGG